Molecule: ribosomal RNA, 1497 nt
Filed under: Staphylococcus haemolyticus
Lineage: Bacteria; Bacillati; Bacillota; Bacilli; Caryophanales; Staphylococcaceae
Description: bacterial SSU rRNA
Rfam family: Bacterial small subunit ribosomal RNA
Source: RNAcentral
GAUCAUGGCUCAGGAUGAACGCUGGCGGCGUGCCUAAUACAUGCAAGUCGAGCGAACAGACAAGGAGCUUGCUCCUUUGACGUUAGCGGCGGACGGGUGAGUAACACGUGGGUAACCUACCUAUAAGACUGGGAUAACUUCGGGAAACCGGAGCUAAUACCGGAUAAUAUUUCGAACCGCAUGGUUCGAUAGUGAAAGAUGGUUUUGCUAUCACUUAUAGAUGGACCCGCGCCGUAUUAGCUAGUUGGUAAGGUAACGGCUUACCAAGGCGACGAUACGUAGCCGACCUGAGAGGGUGAUCGGCCACACUGGAACUGAGACACGGUCCAGACUCCUACGGGAGGCAGCAGUAGGGAAUCUUCCGCAAUGGGCGAAAGCCUGACGGAGCAACGCCGCGUGAGUGAUGAAGGUCUUCGGAUCGUAAAACUCUGUUAUUAGGGAAGAACAUACGUGUAAGUAACUAUGCACGUCUUGACGGUACCUAAUCAGAAAGCCACGGCUAACUACGUGCCAGCAGCCGCGGUAAUACGUAGGUGGCAAGCGUUAUCCGGAAUUAUUGGGCGUAAAGCGCGCGUAGGCGGUUUUUUAAGUCUGAUGUGAAAGCCCACGGCUCAACCGUGGAGGGUCAUUGGAAACUGGAAAACUUGAGUGCAGAAGAGGAAAGUGGAAUUCCAUGUGUAGCGGUGAAAUGCGCAGAGAUAUGGAGGAACACCAGUGGCGAAGGCGACUUUCUGGUCUGUAACUGACGCUGAUGUGCGAAAGCGUGGGGAUCAAACAGGAUUAGAUACCCUGGUAGUCCACGCCGUAAACGAUGAGUGCUAAGUGUUAGGGGGUUUCCGCCCCUUAGUGCUGCAGCUAACGCAUUAAGCACUCCGCCUGGGGAGUACGACCGCAAGGUUGAAACUCAAAGGAAUUGACGGGGACCCGCACAAGCGGUGGAGCAUGUGGUUUAAUUCGAAGCAACGCGAAGAACCUUACCAAAUCUUGACAUCCUUUGACAACUCUAGAGAUAGAGCCUUCCCCUUCGGGGGACAAAGUGACAGGUGGUGCAUGGUUGUCGUCAGCUCGUGUCGUGAGAUGUUGGGUUAAGUCCCGCAACGAGCGCAACCCUUAAGCUUAGUUGCCAUCAUUAAGUUGGGCACUCUAAGUUGACUGCCGGUGACAAACCGGAGGAAGGUGGGGAUGACGUCAAAUCAUCAUGCCCCUUAUGAUUUGGGCUACACACGUGCUACAAUGGACAAUACAAAGGGCAGCGAAACCGCGAGGUCAAGCAAAUCCCAUAAAGUUGUUCUCAGUUCGGAUUGUAGUCUGCAACUCGACUACAUGAAGCUGGAAUCGCUAGUAAUCGUAGAUCAGCAUGCUACGGUGAAUACGUUCCCGGGUCUUGUACACACCGCCCGUCACACCACGAGAGUUUGUAACACCCGAAGCCGGUGGAGUAACCAUUUGGAGCUAGCCGUCGAAGGUGGGACAAAUGAUUGGGGUGAAGUCGUAACA